Molecule: long non-coding RNA, 2714 nt
Organism: Triticum aestivum (bread wheat)
Lineage: Eukaryota; Viridiplantae; Streptophyta; Magnoliopsida; Poales; Poaceae
Exons: 3
Source: RefSeq, a predicted model, not a curated record
CCCAAUCUCAAUCUCCAUCCGCCGCCGCCACGCCUUACCUCUCCUCGGCCCUGUCCUCCGCCUCCACCUCCCCGCCUCCAAGCGAUGACGACGGCCCGAGAUCCAUGGUGACGGCGGCUGCAGUGGCCCGAUGGAAGCGGCGGCCAUCCCUAGCCGUUGCCGCGUGCUUCUGCUACUCACGUUGGCCAUGGAUCUGCAGCAGGGGGCUCCCUCCUCCGUUUCCCAGAGCCCGCAGCUGAUUCGCCAUCCGGAGAUUCGGAGCAGCAAGCACCGGACGAGGAGAGGACGAGGACUGUAACCUGCUGGAGGCCCGAGCGCGACCUCGUCAACGGCGACGACGCCCCGCACAAGAUCAGUAGGAGCUCUCUGCCUCUCCAAUUCCAUGGACGGCGACGACCGGGACCCCACGCUCAAACCCGACGAGCUUGAACGGCGAGGUCAUCCGUGCCGACCAUCAUGAUUCCCCACAGAACAAUAAGGUUGACUCUCUCGUUCUGUUUUUCUUUUCUUCCAAUUGCCUGCUGCUCUUCUCUAGCAUAGUUCUCCAGGGGCUCACCAAUUUUCUUGGACUGAACCUGAUGCAGAAAACGUGUUCACUUUGUUUCCUGAUACUCGCAAGCUACAGCAAGUUACAGCCACCGACAGACUAGCACUGCUAGAUAUUUCCUUUUUCUUCUCUCACCGUGCGAGCAUUAGCGGUGUAGACUUUGUGUUAAAUAACUACUCCCUCCGUAAACUAAUAUAAGAGCGUUUAGAAUACUAAAAUAGUGAUCUAAACGCUCUUAUAUUAGUUUACAGAGGAAGUACUAGUUAGACAAGCUGUGUGGUGGUUCACGUUUAGUUCCUAAUUAGGCCAUGCCAGUAAUGAAUAAAGCAUAUUAGUGUUCUUCUCCUUUCUAUUGUUAUUAGUCUGGUAUAUCUCUAUAUUUUUAUAUUGUCUUUACUCCCUGGCGUAGUUGCAAACUAAUAAUUAACGAUGUGCAGAACUUGUCUAAGUUAGAUGUACUCAGUGGCGGAGCUACAACAAAUAAGUUGGGCGGGCCAAUUUUUUUCCUCUAAACCAUACAGUUAAGUAGGCAUGAGUUAGUGAAAUUUCAGGUUGCCUGUAUAGGGAAACUGGUAACAGGAUGAUGUUGUCAAGUAAAAUUUGGACAAAUAAAUGAAAUUUCUUGUGCGCUAGCUGCCUGCUGGUUCUAUGGUCUUGUGCUCGUCGCCUGGGUAGUUCAUCAGCGGCUAGCCGCUGGCAGCCGCCAUAUGGCCAUGCCCGUUGUGGCAUAGGGAUGGGUCACCGUAGGGGUUGCUACAUGCGGCGCCCGUCUGCCUGGCUAUUGGACCGCUCCAUCUCUGAGUGGCUUGCUCAGUGCUGAAUUGGGGCAGAGAGCUCAUAGCUGGAUGCGAGGGAGACAUGCUAUUGGAUUAAGCUGUUACAUGUACAAAAGAGUUUUAUUUGUCUGUGGAGCUGGGUGGGUCAUGGCCUUGUUUUUCCCUCACGAAGCUCCGCCAGUGGAUCUACUCAUCUUUGUUGUUGUUAGGAUCAAAUAUCAAUGCUAGUUGAGUCAUACUACGUCCAUCUUGAAAUAUAAGUCAUUUUUAUAGGCUAAACUGGCCUACAAAAAUGUCUUAUAUUUUGAGACGGAGUUAGUACUUGUUAGUUCUGACCAUGCCUAGCUUAAGGACUCAUUGGUAUUCUUGAUAAGAAAAUCCUGCAUAUGUUCGUACAUGUUCCUAUCUGAAUUAAUAUUGGAUGUUUCUUGGUGUGUGCAUGUGACAGUCAAGGCACAUUUUCACAAUAUAUGUUGGUAUAUGGUGUUGUGAAACUUCUAUGAUUGAACAUACCACGGCAAGAUUCAGAAGUAACUUUCUUCCAUCUACAAAAGUUGAGAGGCAGAGGGAGAGGCACACAGUUUUACCACUGAAUAAGCUACUCCCUGAGCUAGAGGGAGGGGCACAAGAUUUACCACUGAAUAAGCUGUUCCAUUCUACAUUAUUGAGGCUCUAAAAUGAAAUAAUGAAAUGGUGUAACAAUCUGUAGCUUUAGAGAUUUAGAGGCACACAUAGAUAAUGAAAUAGUGUAACAAUCUGCAGGUUUGAAAAGUUUAGUGUUCUUAUUCGAUCUUGGUUUGCAGCAAAUAAUAAUAUGUCAUUGCACUUUGGGCUCAAAUGAAAUUCUUGUAUGUUGUCAAUUCUCUGUCAAAAGUUGUUUUAACAGUGUGCUAAGUUUUGUCAGAUGCGUUGCCUAGGUCUAUCUCAUGGACACCCAGAUUUUGUAUGCAAUUUUCUCAACACCCAGAUUGGAGCCUAAGGUUGGACAUUUUGAUGGGACUGCGGAUCUUCGGAUGUUGGUGCUGAGAUUGAUGUGGCCCUAGCUACAUGUAAGCGAAGCUUAUGAUGUUGAUCCUCCAGGCUGCACUGCCAUCGUUUUACCUCAGAAACUGUUGGUAUGAUUGCGUACCGGGCUACUUGGUGCUGCCCAUCACAAUUUGCACUGACAUGAUAACUUCCAUCAAGAGGGCCGGCUGCAAGAACUUGAAUAGCAACUUCAAUAGUUUAAAUGUUCUGUUUGUGUGAACUGGAUUGUACUGUUUUUUAACUUUCCCAAGUGAUAUAUGUUGUAAACUAUCAUUUCAUGGAGGAUUUUGUAAGCUGCUAUGUUGUAGAUACUUGUGGGUGACUGCAUUUUGAUUCAUAUGUGCAUGUGAGACAGUUUUGAAAUA